GCAAUUUUCAGGGAGUGCCGUCGUAAAAGAUGUGGACGUUUGAGGAGAAGUGUAAGGACCAAGUCUCUUUUCUCAAACUCACACUGUAGUCUCUUCACAUGGAUGAAGUACAUUCACAGAUUUGCACAGGGUUUGCAGCUACGGCAGGUAGACAUGCUUCAGGAUGGCAUCACUAAAAGCACUGCAACACUCUCAAUGAUGUCUAAAAAAACUGCGAAGAAUUUGCCUAAAAAGCCUUAAAAGGCACAGGAAAGAAAAAGGCCAGAAAAUCGGUGGAGUCAACGCUAUCGUCCACAUUGACGAGAGCAAGUUCUGCCAUAAGCGCAAGUACGGAAGAGGGCGCUUCGGGAACAGCUGGAGGAGAAAAAGGACAUGGGUCUUUGGAAUGCUCCAAAUCAAACGGUCUGACAGGCGUCCUAUUCUUCGCCUCGUGCAGAGACGAAAUAAGGAGACCCUUAUUCCUAUCAUCAAAAAGCAUGUGGAGCGUCACAGUCUCGUCGUAAGUGAUGAGUGGAGAGCGUAUGCCGGUCUCGCCACAGAGGGCUACAGGCAUGUCAGGGUGAACCACAGCCAACAUUAUGUUGACCCUCAGACAGGA
Molecule: long non-coding RNA, 598 nt
Organism: Gadus morhua (Atlantic cod)
Lineage: Eukaryota; Metazoa; Chordata; Actinopteri; Gadiformes; Gadidae
Exons: 3
Source: RefSeq, a predicted model, not a curated record